Molecule: long non-coding RNA, 336 nt
Filed under: Homo sapiens (human)
Lineage: Eukaryota; Metazoa; Chordata; Mammalia; Primates; Hominidae
Description: non-protein coding LINC01872:8
Source: RNAcentral
CGGGGCUUCAAGGGAUUGGUAUCCCCGUGCAAGGAGGUUGGCGAGGCCUCAGGGGACUCCCAGUUCAGCGAAUCCGUUAGCCUUCCUCUGCCUUAGUCACUUCCCCGUGAGGCACUCCGUGUUUGUGUACACGGUUAUUCCACGUGUCAGUCAGUUCAUCGGGCGCAUCCGGAGUCAUUGAAAACAGUAAUAGGAAGUCAAACAAACCCGCUUGAUGCAAAAAUUCAGGAGGACAUUCGGUUUUUAAGGAAAUAGUGCUGAGGAAGGACCAGGCUGGAGCUCCUUGGACCCUGAGACUGGGAGCAUGGGACUCAGAGAGGAGAAGAGGCUUCAACC